This 500-nucleotide ribosomal RNA is filed under the name uncultured bacterium. RNAcentral describes it as "bacterial SSU rRNA". It matches the Rfam family "Bacterial small subunit ribosomal RNA", at positions 36 to 550 of the family's 1533-position model. The record is from RNAcentral.
CUGGCGGCGUGCCUAACACAUGCAAGUCGAACGAGAAAGCGGGGGCAACUCCGCGAGUAAAGUGGCGACCGGGUGAGUAACACGUGACUAACCUGCCCUCGAGCGGGGGAUAACCCCGGGAAACCGGGGCUAAUACCGCAUAACAUCUUCGAUAUGAAAGUAUUGAGGAUCAAAGGAGCAAUUCACUUGAGGAGGGGGUCGCGGCCGAUUAGCUAGUUGGCGGGGUAACGGCCCACCAAGGCUGAGAUCGGUAGCCGGCCUGAGAGGGCGCACGGCCACACUGGGACUGAAACACGGUCCAGACUCCUACGGGAGGCAGCAGUGGGGAAUUUUGCGCAAUGGGGGGAACCCUGACGCAGCAACGCCGCGUGGAGGAUGAAGUCCCUUGGGACGUAAACUCCUUUCGACCGGGAAGAUAAUGACGGUACCGGAAGAAGAAGCACCGGCUAACUCUGUGCCAGCAGCCGCGGUAAUACAGAGGGUGCGAGCGUNGUUCGGAA